UGAGUAACACGUGACUAAUCUACCCUCGAGUGGGGAAUAACUGAGAGAAAUCUUAGCUAAGUACCGCAUAACACUUACGAGUCAAAGCAGCAAUGCGCUUGGGGAGGAGGUCGCGGCCGAUUAGCUAGUUGGCGGGGUAAUGGCCCACCAAGGCGAUGAUCGGUAUCCGGCCUGAGAGGGCGCACGGACACACUGGAACUGAAACACGGUCCAGACUCCUACGGGAGGCAGCAGUGGGGAAUUUUGCGCAAUGGGGGAAACCCUGACGCAGCAACGCCGCGUGGAGGAUGAAGUAUCUCGGUACGUAAACUCCUUUCGAUGGGGAAGAUAAUGACGGUACCAAUAGAAGAAGCCCCGGCUAACUUCGUGCCAGCAGCCGCGGUAAUACGAGGGGGGCAAGCGUUGUUCGGAUUUAUUGGGCGUAAAGGGUGCGUAGGCGGUUUGGCAAGUCUUGUGUGAAAUCUAUGGGCUCAACCAUAGCCUGCACGAGAAACUACCGGGCUUGAGUGAUGGAGAGGUGA
RNAcentral lists this ribosomal RNA (521 nucleotides) under uncultured fungus. RNAcentral describes it as "bacterial SSU rRNA". It matches the Rfam family "Bacterial small subunit ribosomal RNA", at positions 107 to 660 of the family's 1533-position model. Lineage: Eukaryota; Fungi. The record is from RNAcentral.